RNAcentral lists this long non-coding RNA (118 nucleotides) under Phasianus colchicus (ring-necked pheasant). Its description in RNAcentral is "lncRNA (ENSPCLG00000010916.1)". The record is from RNAcentral. Lineage: Eukaryota; Metazoa; Chordata; Aves; Galliformes; Phasianidae.
GGAUUUUGUAAUGAGAGGGCUUUAAUAUUGGAACUCUACUUUCUACUGGAGGGAUGAUAUUUGUUGUUUAUUGUCCUUAGGAUUCUAUAUGCUGUUGAGAAACAGUCACGCAGAGGAC